Molecule: ribosomal RNA, 253 nt
Filed under: uncultured bacterium
Lineage: Bacteria
Description: partial 16S ribosomal RNA
Rfam family: Bacterial small subunit ribosomal RNA
Source: RNAcentral
UACGUAGGCAGCAAGCGUUGUUCGGAAUUACUGGGCGUAAAGCGCGUGUAGGCGGCCCGGUAAGUCCGCUGUGAAAGUCGGGGGCUCAACCCUCGAAAGCCGGUGGAUACUGUCGGGCUAGAGUACGGAAGAGGCGAGUGGAAUUCCUGGUGUAGCGGUGAAAUGCGCAGAUAUCAGGAGGAACACCCAUUGCGAAGGCAGCUCGCUGGGACGUUACUGACGCUGAGACGCGAAAGCGUGGGGAGCAAACAGG